Non-coding RNA from Vicia faba (fava bean), 219 nucleotides. The record is from the annotation of a GenBank genome assembly. Lineage: Eukaryota; Viridiplantae; Streptophyta; Magnoliopsida; Fabales; Fabaceae.
AUGACAGUAGCCAUAACGACUAAUGUUGUGACAGUAGUGAUGGUGGCACCGGCAGAGGGAAAAAGAUUGGUUUUUGUCACCAACAACUUAACUAAGUCUUGGAAACAAUAUGGAAAGAAGUUUGAAACACUUGGCCUGAAUGUCAAUGAGGAGGAGAUUUCUGCAUCGUCUUUUGAAGUUCCCACGUAUUUGAAAUCCAUUGAUUUCCCAAAAGAUUAA